This 825-nucleotide non-coding RNA is filed under the name Beta vulgaris subsp. vulgaris (sugar beet). RNAcentral's name for it is "Bacterial large subunit ribosomal RNA". It matches the Rfam family "Bacterial large subunit ribosomal RNA", at positions 1531 to 2382 of the family's 2925-position model. The record is from Rfam by way of RNAcentral. Lineage: Eukaryota; Viridiplantae; Streptophyta; Magnoliopsida; Caryophyllales; Amaranthaceae.
ACCGGCUGAAAGUGGUGGAAGGAGGCGGGGCGACCCAAAUCCGGUUCUUUGAUCCGACCGCCGAGAAAAGUGUCCUGGCCCUUUCCAAGGCCGCCCGUACCGCAAACCGACACAGGUGGGUGGGUAGAAUAUACCAAGGCGAAAGAGUGAAACCUCGUUAAGGAACUCUGCAAUCUAGUCCCGUAACUUCGGAAGAAGGGAUGCCCAAGCUUGCUUGGGUCGCAGUGAAAGGGGACAACCGACUGUUUAUCAAAAACACAGCAUUGUGCCAAGACGAAAGUCCAAGUAUACGAUGUGACACGUGACCAAUGCGGAAAGAUUAAGGCAAGGGGUUAGCCGCAAGGCGAAGCUCUGAACCCAAGUCCCCGUGAAUGUCGGCCGUAACUAUAACGGUCCUAAGGUAGCGAAAUUCCUUGUCGGGUAAGUUCCGACCUGCACGAAUCGUGUAACGAGUUGUCCGCUGUCUCAACAGGGGCUCAGUGAAAUUGUAUAGCGGUGAAGAUGCCGCUUACCCGCAGAAGGACGGAAAGACCCUAUGCACCUUAACUGUAAGCUGUCACUGGUCGUUUGGUUUCAUGCUCAGCGUAAGUGGGAGGCUUUGAAGCGGAACUUUCGGGUUCCGCAGAGUCGUCAAUGAAACACCACCCUUGGGUAUUGAACGAUCUAACCGCAGUCCAUGAAUCUGGAUGUGGGACCAUGCAGCCGGUCAGUUUUACUGGGGCGGUAUCCUCCCAAAGUGUAACGGAGGAGCGCGAAGUUUGGCUCAGCGUGGUUGGUAAUCACGUGUUCGAGUGUAUAGGCAUAAGCCAGACUAACUGUGAGACC